RNA transcript from Brassica napus (rape), 2187 nucleotides. It is a transcript of the gene named 60S ribosomal protein L18a-like protein, with no coding region annotated. NCBI's taxonomy places the organism in Eukaryota, Viridiplantae, Streptophyta, Magnoliopsida, Brassicales, Brassicaceae. The transcript has 6 exons. The record is from RefSeq and is a predicted model, not a curated record.
GAAAAAAAAAAAAAUAGAGAAGAAGGCAACGAAAGAGAAAGAAAGGCAAGAAUCUCUCAUUCCCGUAGGUGACGGUCCCCGAAUCUCUCAGGCAGUCUCUCUCUCUCUCUCUCGAUCGAUCCAUCUUUUUUUCUGCAAUUUUCCAGGUUUCUUGGCGACAGGGAAGAUAUUAUUUCGCCAUGAAUGAGACAGAUGUAGAGGAACAAAAGAAAGGAAAGUAUGUUCUGAUCCGUGAUGGUGGUGAUGAGGAGGGCAAUGAGUUAGGAGGACUCUUCUAUAAGCCUCUUCCUUGCUUUGGUCUUGGAAUCGGAUGGCUCUCGUUUCUUCUUGGGUUCUUCUUCCCGUUUGCGUGGUACUUUGCCACAUUUCUAUACCUCACUAACUAUUACCGUAGGGAUCCACGUGAGAGAUCUGGUCUUGCUGCCUCUGCUAUUGCUGCUUUGAUAUUCACCGUUGCACUGCUGAUCACCGUGCUUGUUCUUGUUUUCUCGGGUCGCUAGAGUCAUCCGUUGUAUAUUCUUUCUAAAGAGAGACAGAUUCAAGCCUGUUUCAACAAGUAAAAUUUUUCUAUCGUUGAUAUAGAAGAGAAUGUUGUGAGGUUUCAAAGAGAAGACUUUGCUACCAUUGUCAUUGAGUUUCUUUGAGCUGGAGAAGUUGUCUUCUUUUGAGAACCAAGAAGACAACAACCAAGACCUGCAACAUUGCUGCUAACCCUGCAAAGACUAGUCCCACCGUCUCCCCUUUGUUUAAUCCACCUCUCUUUGGUUCAUCUGGUGAUCCAAACCUCCGUGGCUCAGGAGGCGGUGGAAGGGAUUCUGACCUGGGCUGCGGAGGCUGCUGUUGAGGAGCAGGUGAAGGCAGAGGCACAAUUGUCUCUGCUACUGGAGGUGGUGGAAAAAUGUCUGUCACAUUGACAAGUGGUGGAGGUGCAGAAGAAGGCGGUGGUGGUGGCGGAGGAGGUGGUGGUGGUGGUGGUGGAGGUGGAGGAGGUGGUGGAGGUGGUGGUGGAGGUUGUGCAAAGAAAGGUGGUUCUUGUGAUCUGACGAGGAGGAAACAUAAAGAUAGGGAGAGAAACAAAAUGUGGAGGAGGCUCCAAUGUCUCAACACAGAAUCAAGAAAAGCCAUUUAUCAAGAGAAUGAAUCAAAAACGUUUUCCUUUUCUUCUUUACCGCAAACCAAAUGUGACAUCUGGAGAUGAAAAGGAAAAAAAAGGAACAACAGAAACAGAGAAAUGGAGGAAGUGGGCUGGAUUCAGAAAGAAUAAUUAAUCAAGUAACCAAUCGUGAAGUCUGUGACAAAAAUAAAUUCUGAGGAAUCAAGGUGAGAGAAAAUACAACUAAGACAAAAUUCAGAGAGAGAGAGAGAAAUGGUAAACAUUAUUUCCCGGGAAUUAUAGAGAGAGAAAAUAACAGACUUACUUAUUUGAGCUAAAUAUGGUUGGUAACAAGUUCAGUUAAAGUUUUGUUUAACUUUGUGCACAAAAAAGAUAAGGCAUGGGCAUUCAAAAUAUCCGUUUCUGGUUCAGGUCUGGUUUUAUAGGUUCUGAUUCCUUUGGAACUUAGAGAUUCGGUCCAUCAAGAUAUUUAUAAUUUUCCGGUUCGGUUUCGGGUUAAUUUCUCUCGGUUCCGGUUCCGGUUCCGGAUCGGUUCUGUUACAAAUAUUUGAUAUACAAAAAUUGUUUCUGGUUUGGUUCGUUUUCCCUUAAUCCAAAAUCUGUUAAAAUUUAACCAAAAACAGAGCCACGCCAAUAAUUUUUUGGGAUAAAAUUUAAGAGAAACCAAAGCCAGCAAAUGAACAACUCCGGUUAAAUGAAUCUAACCAAAACAAAAGUUUGUAUAUAAAUCUCAAAACUGUACCUUUUGGACGGGAAAGCAGCCUUCUCCAAAUGGGUCAUAGAUGAGCAUGAUUGUUAUCUGAGCUCACUGACGAGACUUUACUUUCUGUUUGCUAAAUCUAUUAGUGGGAUUAAGGAUUAGAGGCUGCUGAAAAAGAUUGAGAGAGGGAGAGCGACAGCGACUUCAUACAUAUUCGAAAUAGAUAGGCUAUUUAGUUAUAUUCAUUUCUGAAUGACUGAUUCCAUAAAAGCCAAAAAAAAAAAGAUUUGAAUUUUGGAAAACUAACUUGUCUACAUAUCUUGUAAAUACAACAUCUUUUAUUACACCUCGGCUUAGACGACAAGUUUAACUU